UACAGGGGGGGCAAGCGUUGUUCGGAAUUACUGGGCGUAAAGGGCUCGUAGGCGGCCAACUAAGUCACACGUGAAAUCCCCAGGCUUAACCUGGGAACUGCGUGUGAUACUGGAUGGCUUGAAUUCGGGAGAGGGAUGCAGAAUUCCAGGUGUAGCGGUGAAAUGCGUAGAGAUGUGGAGGAACACCGAUGGCGAAGGCAGCCCCCUGGGUCAAGACUGACGCUCAUGCACGAAAGCGUGGGGAGCAAACAGG
This 253-nucleotide ribosomal RNA is filed under the name uncultured bacterium. RNAcentral's name for it is "partial 16S ribosomal RNA". It matches the Rfam family "Bacterial small subunit ribosomal RNA", at positions 524 to 776 of the family's 1533-position model. The record is from RNAcentral.